RNAcentral lists this ribosomal RNA (528 nucleotides) under uncultured bacterium. RNAcentral describes it as "partial 16S ribosomal RNA". It matches the Rfam family "Bacterial small subunit ribosomal RNA", at positions 355 to 873 of the family's 1533-position model. The record is from RNAcentral.
UGGGGAAUUUUGGACAAUGGGCGAAAGCCUGAUCCAGCAAUGCCGCGUGUGUGAAGAAGGCCUUCGGGUCGUAAAGCACUUUUGUCCGGAAAGAAAUCCUUGGCUCUAAUACAGUCGGGGGAUGACGGUACCGGAAGAAUAAGCACCGGCUAACUACGUGCCAGCAGCCGCGGUAAUACGUAGGGUGCAAGCGUUAAUCGGAAUUACUGGGCGUAAAGCGUGCGCAGGCGGUUUGCUAAGACCGAUGUGAAAUCCCCCGGGCUCAACCUGGGAACUGCAUUGGUGACUGGCAGGCUAGAGUAUGGCAGAGGGGGGUAGAAUUCCACGUGUAGCAGUGAAAUGCGUAGAGAUGUGGAGGAAUACCGAUGGCGAAGGCAGCCCCCCUGGGCCAAAUACUGACGCUCAUGCACGAAAGCGUGGGGAGCAAACAGGAUUAGAUACCCUGGUAGUCCACGCCCUAAACGAUGUCAACUAGUUGUUGGGGAUUCAUUUCCUUAGUAACGUAGCUAACGCGUGAAGUUGACCGCC